RNAcentral lists this ribosomal RNA (698 nucleotides) under uncultured marine archaeon. Its description in RNAcentral is "bacterial SSU rRNA". It matches the Rfam family "Archaeal small subunit ribosomal RNA", at positions 102 to 802 of the family's 1478-position model. The record is from RNAcentral.
GGGUAACCUACCCUAUGCUGGGGAAUAAGCUCGGGAAACUGAGAAUAAUACCCCAUAGUCCACUACGCCUGGAACGGUGAGUGGAUCAAAGCUCCGGCGGCAUAGGAUGGGCCUGCGGCGUAUCAGGUUGUAGGGGGUGUAAUGUACCCUCUAGCCAUCCACGCGUACGGGUGUUGGGAGACAUUGCCCGGAGAUGGAUUCUGAGACACGAAUCCAGACCCUACGGGGUGCAGCAGGCGCGAAAACUUGGCAAUGCGAGAAAUCGUGACCAGGGAACUCCAAGUGGCAGGGGUAAGACCCUGUCUUUUUCCGACUCUAAAUAGGUCGGCGAAUAAGGGGUGGGUAAGGACGGUGCCAGCCGCCGCGGUAAUACCGGCGCCUCAAGUGGUAGUCGCUUUUAUUGGGCCUAAAACGUCCGUAGCCGGUCUGGUACAUUCGUGGGUAAAUCAACUCGCUCAACGAGUUGAAUUCUGCGAGGACGGCCAGACUUGGGACCGGGAGAGGUGUGGGGUACUCUCAGGGUAGGGGUAAAAUCCUGUCAUCCUGAGAGGACCACCUGUUGCGAAGGCUCCACACUAGAACGGAUCCGACGGUCAGGGACGAAGCCUACGGGCACGAACCGGAUUAGAUACCCGGGUAGUCCUAGGUGUAAACGCUGUGGACUUGAUGUUGGGGACGCUCCGAGCGUUCUCAGUGUC